This 210-nucleotide ribosomal RNA is filed under the name uncultured Pelotomaculum sp. Its description in RNAcentral is "partial 16S ribosomal RNA". It matches the Rfam family "Bacterial small subunit ribosomal RNA", at positions 1171 to 1381 of the family's 1533-position model. The record is from RNAcentral. Lineage: Bacteria; Bacillati; Bacillota; Clostridia; Eubacteriales; Desulfotomaculaceae.
AAGUGGGAUGACGUCAAAUCAUCAUGCCCCUUAUGUUCUGGGCUACACACGUGCUACAAUGGCCGGUACAGACGGACGCAAAGCCGCGAGGUGGAGCAAAUCCCUAAAAGCCGGUCUCAGUUCGGAUUGCAGGCUGCAAUUCGCCUGCAUGAAGUCGGAAUCGCUAGUAAUCGCAGGUCAGCAUACUGCGGUGAAUACGUUCCCGGCCUU